RNAcentral lists this unclassified non-coding RNA (180 nucleotides) under plant metagenome. Its description in RNAcentral is "partial contains 5.8S ribosomal RNA, internal transcribed spacer 2, and large subunit ribosomal RNA". The record is from RNAcentral.
UAUACGCUCAUGGUAUCGACCUCGAAGGGUGCUUCGAUGCCGUUAACCUUGAUAACCUCGACCUGGUGCGCACGAUCCACCGUGACUAUAUCAACGCCGGUGCUGAACUCAUUGAAACUAACACCUACGGUGCGAAUCGUCUCAAACUCGAGCGUUUCGGUUUAGGCGAUAAAGUUGUUG